Molecule: long non-coding RNA, 1358 nt
Organism: Phlebotomus papatasi
Lineage: Eukaryota; Metazoa; Arthropoda; Insecta; Diptera; Psychodidae
Exons: 3
Source: RefSeq, a predicted model, not a curated record
AGCUCCCGAUCUUUUUCCCUUCCCAUCACUUUGUGAUUAGUCCCAUAAGUGUACAUUUGUUCUGUGAAGUAUUGUGCCAGCAGGGAAGGGAGAAUUGUGCCUUGGGAGCCCUAACUUUGGGCACUCCAGCAAGGCGAAGGACUUAAAGGCUCUAACGAGAGCCUCCAGCAUCAAUGGGAGGCUACCCAUUUAUCCUCCCGCAUUCGAAACCCCGCACUGAAGACAUCAACCGUCAGGACAAUGGAUUUUCAUGAAUGAUGUGGAGAUUUUCCCUCGUCGAUGAUGGGCCCCAACGUGAUCAGCACCUUGUAGGAUGUAUCGUCGCCUACGUGGGAGGCUUGUUGCCCCUUAGGGGGAAUCGUCGAGGAGAAUUCUGGAUUGGUAGCGGUCUCACAUACUACAGCUCCGCAGGAAAAGAGGCUCAAGUCCCAAAGAUCUCAAAUAGAGGUUGAGGAUGUACCCACUGGCACUGUAUUUGCCACAGCAUACAUGAGGAGAAGAUCUGUUGAGUAAAAUCUCCAAAAAAAUGAAAUAUUGCUAUCGAGAGACCACAAGGAGUACUAAGGGACAUUUCCAUCGUUUUGGACCUAGAGGCUGAAAUCAACACUAAGACGGCGAUGGAUGUAUGGAAAAAGGGUAAAAAAGACGAAAAUGAGAUGAAAAUAAAUUGAAUAUCUGACAACUUAAAGUAGAUUCGAACUUGGAACACUUGUAUCAUACAGCAGUUGCCCUUUUAAAAUGUAUUAUUGGUUUCUUCUUUAAAUUAAAUACAAAAUUUAAGAUAUUUUAAGUUAAAAAGGGGUAGUAAAACAGAUUCUUUUCAUUGUUGGUCACAAAACCAUGCAAAUUAAAAGCCUCUAUUGAUAUUUCUAUUCACAGAAGUUAAUUUAAUUAAAUGUAUCUCACAUCUAAUUAUAAAUUUUCUUUAUGCUCUUACAUUUUUCUGCACUUCAUUUUGUCACUUUGUGCUGAUUUCAUUGAUUAUUUCUGUGUCUUUUUCACAUUGAUUGUUAUCCUCGUCAAAUCGUAUGAUAUUGUACAUGGUAAACGAGUGAGACUCAAUGAUUAAUUGCAUUAAAGUCGCUCUGCAACCUCUAACCAUGGUUAAAUCUCUGCAGAGAAAGAGAUUUUGAGAGAAUUAUUGUGUGUCUAAAAUUAGAAUUAGUAGUUCAAGAGAACUUUUAUUACUUAAUUAUGGUUAUUUGCAAUUAUUGAAAAUACCUCUUUUGCAUUUAAUUGCAUUUACGCAGAUUUUUCUCUAAAAGCUGAUUCAAUUAUUUACGUUUCCCAUGAGAAUAUUACAAAAUUCUCAAUAUAUAGUUUUGAGGGCUUAUCUUUAGGUUAAUUAAUAUAAAAUA